CCUACGGGAGUCAGCAGUGAGGAAUAUUAGUCAAUGGCCGAGAGGCUGAACCAGCCAAGUCGCGUGAGGGAAGACGGCCCUACGGGUUGUAAACCUCUUUUGUCGGGGAGCAAAGCGAACCACGUGUGGUUCAUUGAGAGUACCCGACGAAAAAGCAUCGCCUAACUCCGUGCCAGCAGCCGCGGUAAUACGGAGGAUGCGAGCGUUAUCCGGAUUUAUUGGGUUGAAAGGGUGCGCAGGCGGAAGAUCAAGUCAGCGGUAAAAUUGAGAGGCUCAACCUCUUCGAGCCGUUGAAACUGGUUUUCUUGAGUGAGUGAGAAGUAUGCGGAAUGCGUGGUGUAGCGGUGAAAGGCAUAGAUAUCACGCAGAACUCCGAUUGCGAAGGCAGCAUACCGGCGCUCAACUGACGCUCAUGCACGAAAGUGUGGGUAUCGAACAGGAUUAGAUACCCCAGUAGUC
This 459-nucleotide ribosomal RNA is filed under the name uncultured bacterium. RNAcentral describes it as "partial 16S ribosomal RNA". It matches the Rfam family "Bacterial small subunit ribosomal RNA", at positions 338 to 795 of the family's 1533-position model. The record is from RNAcentral.